UCUACGGGAGGCAGCAGUAGGGAAUCUUUCACAAUGGGCGAAAGCCUGAUGGAGCAACGCCGCGUGCAGGAUGAAGGCCUUCGGGUUGUAAACUGCUUUUAUAAGCGAGAAAUAUGAUGGUAACUUAUGAAAAAGCAUCGGCUAACUCCGUGCCAGCAGCCGCGGUAAUACGGAGGAUGCGAGCGUUAUCCGGAUUUAUUGGGUUUAAAGGGUUGGUAGGCGGAAUAUCAAGUCAGCGGUAAAAAUUCGGGGCGCAACCCCGGCGUGCCGUUGAAACUGAUGUUCUUGAGUGGGCGAGAAGUAUGCGGGAUGCGUGGUGUAGCGGUGAAAUGCAUAGAUAUCACGCAGAACUCCGAUUGCGAAGGCAGCAUACCGGCGCCCAACUGACGCUGAAGCACGAAAGCGUGGGUAUCGAACAGGAUUAGAUACCCGAGUAGUC
This 439-nucleotide ribosomal RNA is filed under the name uncultured bacterium. RNAcentral describes it as "partial 16S ribosomal RNA". It matches the Rfam family "Bacterial small subunit ribosomal RNA", at positions 338 to 795 of the family's 1533-position model. The record is from RNAcentral.